Molecule: ribosomal RNA, 484 nt
Filed under: uncultured Cetobacterium sp.
Lineage: Bacteria; Fusobacteriati; Fusobacteriota; Fusobacteriia; Fusobacteriales; Fusobacteriaceae
Description: bacterial SSU rRNA
Rfam family: Bacterial small subunit ribosomal RNA
Source: RNAcentral
GAGUUGAUCCCUGGCUCAGGAUGAACGCUGACAGAAUGCUUAACACAUGCAAGUCGACUUGAAGCAACUUCGGUUGUGGAAAGUGGCGGACGGGUGAGUAACGCGUAAAGAACUUGCCCUUCAGUCUGGGACAACCAUUGGAAACGAUGGCUAAUAACCGGAUAUUAUGGAACUCUCGCAUGGGAGGAUCAUGAAAGCUAUAUGCGCUGAAGGAGAGCUUUGCGUUCCAUUAGCUAGUUGGUGAGGUAACGGCUCACCAAGGCGACGAUGGAUAGCCGGCCUGAGAGGGGUGAUCGGGUUACAAGGGGACUGAGACACGGCCCUUACUCCUACGGGAGGCAGCAGUGGGGAAUAUUGGACAAUGGACCAAAAGUCUGAUCCAGCAAUUCUGUGUGCACGAUGAAGGUUUUCGGAUCGUAAAGUGCUUUCAGUUGGGAAGAAGAAAGUGACGGUACCAACAGAAGAAGCGACGGCUAAAUACGUG